UUGAACGCUGGCGGCAUGCUUUACACAUGCAAGUCGAACGGCAGCACGGGGGCAACCCUGGUGGCGAGUGGCGAACGGGUGAGUAAUAUAUCGGAACAUAUCCGGGAGUGGGGGAUAACGUAGCGAAAGUUACGCUAAUACCGCAUAUGCCCUGAGGGGGAAAGUGGGGGAUCGCAAGACCUCACGCUUUCGGAGUGGCCGAUAUCGGAUUAGCUAGUUGGUGGGGUAAAGGCCCACCAAGGCGACGAUCCGUAGCUGGUCUGAGAGGACGAACAGCCACACUGGGACUGAGACACGGCCCAGACUCCUACGGGAGGCAGCAGUGGGGAAUUUUGGACAAUGGGGGCAACCCUGAUCCAGCCAUGCCGCGUGAGUGAAGAAGG
Molecule: ribosomal RNA, 383 nt
Filed under: uncultured bacterium
Lineage: Bacteria
Description: bacterial SSU rRNA
Rfam family: Bacterial small subunit ribosomal RNA
Source: RNAcentral